GCCGUAUCGUGCCGCCCGUUUUGCCCGCGGGGAAGCCGAGGCCCGGCGCCGUAUCCUGUGGCCGUUUUACCCGCGGGAAAGUCGAGGCCCGGCGCCGUAUCCUGCCGCCCGUUUUACCCGCGAGGAAGCCGAGGCCCGGCGCCGUAUCCUGCCGCCCGUUUUACCCGCGGAGACGCCGAGGCCCGAUGCCGUAUCCUGCCGCCCGUUUUACCCGCGGGAAAGCCGAGGCCCGGUGCUGUAUUCUGCCGCCCAUUUUACCCGCGGGGAAGCUGAGGCCCAGUGCUGUUUAAUAUCUUACUCAUGUUCACUUGAUGAGAAAGUGACAGAUCUGAGACAAACCCAGGUAUGAGGCUGCAGAGCCCUGCUCUGAACCGCUGAGUCUGUCUCUUUUCUUGGGACAGGGACAGCUUCCUGUGGUGACAGCCUUGCUCUUGGCUGCAGGGAUUAAGGGAGGAAUAAAGCUCGGGGCUACAGCCAGCCCAUCCGGGAUGGGGAGCUACCACAGGGCAGCAGGUUUAGCUCUCACUGCUUUUCUGACCUGAGUAUGCCUAGAGAGGGGAGCUCAGAGCCAUGGAGGAGCAAGGAGAGCCUUGGGUCCUACAGCGGCUACCAGACCUCUGCGUGCAGUUCUCGCCCUGGGCAAGCCCUCUGUGUGGGUGGGUGGGUGGGUGGGUGCUGCCAGGACAGGCCUCUGGGAAGACGUGGAACACUGACGGAAGGAGGGAGGAGGGCAGAAGCCAGGGUGUUUGCUCCUCUCUCCCGUGGCCUGGGAUGGGGGUCUCGUGCACUGAUGUGUUUCCCUCACCACUCCCGUGGCACAGCCCCUCCCCCUUUCUUCCCCGCUCCAGCCAGCACACCCCUGACUUGACUCCACCUUCAGCAGGAUGGCCUUGGCGUCUGUGUCCUGGCAAUGUCACCCUCCUCUCAUUUCUUCUUUAGUUCUAGAGGUUAUGACACCAGCCAUGGAAGAGCAGAGAGGCCAAUGAGGUGGGGAGGUUGGAAACAAAAGGCCUUCUCCACCCCAGCUUGACCAACCCAAAAGCUGGAAGGCAAGGAAGACCUAGAUCGACAGAAAAGAAAUGAGUCAACGAUGGUGCAGAAAGGGACCAGCUUGACGAAGCUUCUGCUUUUGUGACUGUCUCCUAAUGAAACCAGAGCACCUCAGAAGAUCAAGGCUUCCAAAUUCUCCUGGGGGAACAGACGUCAGCCAUUCAGCACAAAGGAAACUUCCUUCUCUGUAUGUCAGAGGAAGACAUAAUUGUGCCAUUUCCUUCUUGAAGAAGUUUACAAACAUUUGCAAGUUGUCAAAAAUAAUUAGUCUAAAAUUGUUUCAUAAACCGUGGAAUGAAACAGGACGUGCCUUGUUGAGAUCAAAGGGCUUCUGUUACCUUCUUGUAAACUCAAAUGAAAUUCUUUUGAAAGUAAA
RNAcentral lists this long non-coding RNA (1426 nucleotides) under Homo sapiens (human). Its description in RNAcentral is "HSALNT0402132". Lineage: Eukaryota; Metazoa; Chordata; Mammalia; Primates; Hominidae. The record is from RNAcentral.